UGGGAUGUAGUUCAGUGGUGGAGCACUUGCCUCACAUGUAUGAGACACUGGGUUUGAUCCUCAGCAACACAU
Molecule: transfer RNA, 72 nt
Filed under: Ictidomys tridecemlineatus (thirteen-lined ground squirrel)
Lineage: Eukaryota; Metazoa; Chordata; Mammalia; Rodentia; Sciuridae
Description: Spermophilus tridecemlineatus (thirteen-lined ground squirrel) tRNA
Rfam family: tRNA
About the family: Transfer RNA (tRNA) molecules are approximately 80 nucleotides in length. Their secondary structure includes four short double-helical elements and three loops (D, anti-codon, and T loops). Further hydrogen bonds mediate the characteristic L-shaped molecular structure. tRNAs have two regions of fundamental functional importance: the anti-codon, which is responsible for specific mRNA codon recognition, and the 3' end, to which the tRNAs corresponding amino acid is attached (by aminoacyl-tRNA synthetases). tRNAs cope with the degeneracy of the genetic code in two manners: having more than one tRNA (with a specific anti-codon) for a particular amino acid; and 'wobble' base-pairing, i.e. permitting non-standard base-pairing at the 3rd anti-codon position.
Source: Rfam by way of RNAcentral